GAUGAACGCUGGCGGCGUGCUUAACACAUGCAAGUCGAACGAGAAGUGGAGACGGACACCUUCGGGCGGAAGACUUUACUUCGAGUGGCGGACGGGUGAGCAACGCGUGGGUAACCUGCCUCAUACAGGGGGAUAACAGUUGGAAACGACUGUUAAUACCGCAUAAGACCACAGCACCGCAUGGUGCGGGGGUAAAAACUCCGGUGGUAUGAGAUGGACCCGCGUUCGAUUAGCCAGUUGGCGGGGUAACGGCCCACCAAAGCGACGAUCGAUAGCCGAUCUGAGAGGAUGACCGGCCACAUUGGGACUGAGACACGGCCCAAACUCCUACGGGAGGCAGCAGUGGGGAAUAUUGCACAAUGGGGGAAACCCUGAUGCAGCGACGCCGCGUGAGUGAAGAAGUAUUUCGGUAUGUAAAGCUCUAUCAGCAGGGAAGAAAAUGACAGUACCUGAGGAAGAAGCCCCGGCUAACUACGUG
This 478-nucleotide ribosomal RNA is filed under the name uncultured bacterium. RNAcentral describes it as "partial 16S ribosomal RNA". It matches the Rfam family "Bacterial small subunit ribosomal RNA", at positions 28 to 507 of the family's 1533-position model. The record is from RNAcentral.